This 600-nucleotide ribosomal RNA is filed under the name Pseudomonas sp. F36. RNAcentral's name for it is "bacterial SSU rRNA". It matches the Rfam family "Bacterial small subunit ribosomal RNA", at positions 65 to 660 of the family's 1533-position model. Lineage: Bacteria; Pseudomonadati; Pseudomonadota; Gammaproteobacteria; Pseudomonadales; Pseudomonadaceae. The record is from RNAcentral.
AGCGGAUGACGGGAGCUUGCUCCUUGAUUCAGCGGCGGACGGGUGAGUAAUGCCUAGGAAUCUGCCUGGUAGUGGGGGACAACGUUUCGAAAGGAACGCUAAUACCGCAUACGUCCUACGGGAGAAAGCAGGGGACCUUCGGGCCUUGCGCUAUCAGAUGAGCCUAGGUCGGAUUAGCUAGUUGGUGGGGUAAUGGCUCACCAAGGCGACGAUCCGUAACUGGUCUGAGAGGAUGAUCAGUCACACUGGAACUGAGACACGGUCCAGACUCCUACGGGAGGCAGCAGUGGGGAAUAUUGGACAAUGGGCGAAAGCCUGAUCCAGCCAUGCCGCGUGUGUGAAGAAGGUCUUCGGAUUGUAAAGCACUUUAAGUUGGGAGGAAGGGCAGUAAGCUAAUACCUUGCUGUUUUGACGUUACCGACAGAAUAAGCACCGGCUAACUCUGUGCCAGCAGCCGCGGUAAUACAGAGGGUGCAAGCGUUAAUCGGAAUUACUGGGCGUAAAGCGCGCGUAGGUGGUUUGUUAAGUUGGAUGUGAAAGCCCCGGGCUCAACCUGGGAACUGCAUCCAAAACUGGCAAGCUAGAGUACGGUAGAGGGUG